GGGACCGAGGAGGGUGUCGGGCGCGCGGCGGGGUCGCCGGGGCUGGCGGAGGGGCGGCGGCGGGCGGCCCCACCCGGACCCCAGAGCAGAGGACGCUCGGGGCCGGGGCUCCGCUCGGUGGGAAGGGUGGCGGCUCACGUCGGGCCGUGCAUUCCAGGGUCCCAGGCACUCGGACGCCUGUUGUCCGAGUGCCCCUCGCCCCUCCCAUCGCGGCCGCGCACUGUGGGGUUCAACCCCGUCGGGGACCGAGGCUCGUUGCGGCCUGUGGGAGUAACGGGUGCCAGGAAAUGUGGGACCCCACCCACGACCCUGCGCGGGGAGCGCGCAGCCCCAGUUGCAGGAAAAGCAGCGGGCGCAGAGCAGGCUGGGAACGAACUUGUUGCGGGGGUGAUGGAGGUCGCGUCGUUGAACUUCCCGAACCCGCUGAGGAGCUGGAGGUGCCCCGCAGGCCUUCUCAGAAGUGCCCGGGUGCUCCAGGCAUCUUCCUCUCCCAGCACUGAACCCUCCCGCCUCCUACAGCAGAUGCUGCUGAACCAGGCUUGGCGCCUCCAGCACAUUUAAGAUUUUUUGUGUUUCCAUGAAUCCUUCAUGUCAUCUAACGUGUACCUUGCACACACCAAGAAAGCCCAGAAUUCAUCUUAAAGCUACAAGCAAGGUGCCUGGCUGCCCUCAACACUUCCCUAAAGGGGGAAGGAAGUGACUAUGGAAAUGGCGGAGCCAAGCAAAACCAGGGAGGGCAGACCUUCCGUCACUGGUCACCGUUGAGGCAAAAGCCCUGCGCGGCCUGAGCCCCGGCCCUGCCCAAACAGGGGUUGUGGAUUUUGUGGAAGAAUACCAUGGAAGUCAAGUGCCAUUCUCUUGACAUCAUAACAGAGGGUCACACUAUCAACAGGGAUGAUAUUAGUCUCAACCACUAGACAAGGCAGUGUUUAUCGAGCCUCACCACUAUAAAGUUCUUCCUUUACUCCUUUCCAUGUUCUAUUCUUUGGAACCCAUUCACUAAGUACAGCCCACUUUUGCCUGUUUGUUUUUUAAAUAGCAUUGUUUGUCUUACUGAGUUUUAAAAGUUUUUGUGUAUCCUAAAUAAAAGUUAUUUAUUACAUAUACAACCAGCAAAUAUUUUCUCCCAGUUUGGGGCUUGUCUUUUCAUUUUCUCAAUGGUGUCUCCUGAAGAGGAAACUUUUAAUUUUUUUUUUUUAAUAUUUAUUUUUGAAAGACAGAGAGACAGAGUACAAGCAGGGGAGAGGCAUCAUGAGAGAGGGAGACACUGUAUCCAAAGCACACUCCAGGCUGUCAGCACAGAGCCCGAUGCAGGGCUCGAACUCACAGACCAUGAGAUCAUGACCUGAGCUAAAGUCAGAUGCUUAACUGACUGAGCCACUCAGGCGCCCCAGCUGGUGACAUAUCUAAAAAACCUUUGACAAACGCAAAAUCGCAAAGAGUUUCUCCUAUGUCUUCUUCCAGAAUUCUUAGGGUUUUAGCUCUUACAUGUAGAUCCAUGAUCCAUUUUGAGUUAAUUUUUGUAUAACAUGUAAGGUAGGGGUCUAAGUCCAUAUUUUUGCAUAUGGAUAUCCAAUUGUUCAAGCAACAUUUGUUGGAAAGUCCCCACUGAAUUGCCUUGGCAUCCUGGUAAAAAAUCAGUCGACCUCAAAUAUGAACUAUAUAUCUGGAUUUUCCAUUUUGUUCCAUUGAUUUUAUGCUAGUACCACACUGUCUUCUUGAUUACUGUAGCUUUAUAGUAAGUUUUAAAAUCAGGUAAAUUCUUCAACUUAGUUUUUCUUUUCAAAGAUUUUCUUUUUUGGCUAUUGUAGGUCCUUUGCCAUUUCCAUACAAAUCUUAGGAUAAGCUUGUCAAUUUCUACAGAAAAGCACCCUGGGAUUUUAUCGGGAGUGCACUGAGUCUAUAGAUUAAUUUGGGGAGAAUGGCCAUCUUCUUUUUUUUUUUUUUAAUUUACAUCCAAAUUAGUUAGCAUAUAGUGCAACAGUGAUUUCAGUAGAUUCCUUAAUGCCCCUUACCUAUUUAGCCCAUCCCCCCUUCCACAACCCCUCCAGUAACCCUCAGUUUGUUCUCCAUAUUUAAGAGUCUCUUCUGUUUUGUCCCCCUCCCUGUUUCUAUAUUGUUUUUGUUUCCCUUCCCUUAUGUUCAUAUGUUUUGUCUCUUAAAGUCCUAUGAGUGAAGUCAUAUGGUAUUUGUCGUUCUCUAAUUUCGCUUAGCAUAAUACCCUCCAGUUCCAUCCACAUGGUUAUAAAUGGCAAGGUUUCAUUCUUUUUCAUUGCUGAAUGGUAUU
Long non-coding RNA from Neofelis nebulosa (Clouded leopard), 2287 nucleotides. RefSeq lists it as uncharacterized. NCBI's taxonomy places the organism in Eukaryota, Metazoa, Chordata, Mammalia, Carnivora, Felidae. The record is from RefSeq and is a predicted model, not a curated record. The transcript is spliced from 3 exons.